AAUAAUUUUCAGAAAAAUUGUUAAAAAAUAAUAUCUAAGCAUGCAAAUGGUUUUUAGUUUAUCUCAUAAGGAAUCGCUGGAAUCCUUAGCACAAGCAAGAUCAUUGUCAGACGACGAGUAUGCUUCUUUUAUAGUUAUGGUGUCAAAUGAUUGACCACACUCAUCACACUUGGUAUCGGCAUUUUUACAAUUUUUAACAGGACGUCCACGAGUAUC
RNAcentral lists this long non-coding RNA (216 nucleotides) under Polistes dominula (European paper wasp). RNAcentral's name for it is "uncharacterized LOC107070956, transcript variant X2". Lineage: Eukaryota; Metazoa; Arthropoda; Insecta; Hymenoptera; Vespidae. The record is from RNAcentral.